Carlito syrichta (Philippine tarsier) is the source of this 416-nucleotide non-coding RNA. NCBI's taxonomy places the organism in Eukaryota, Metazoa, Chordata, Mammalia, Primates, Tarsiidae. The record is from the annotation of a RefSeq genome assembly.
CCAGGCAGGACACAGCAUGAACAUGAGGGGCCCCACUCAGCUCCUGGGGCUCUUGCUGCUCUGGCUCCUAGGUGUCAGUUGUGAUAUUCAGAUGACCCAGUCUCCAUCCUUCCUGUCUGCAUCUCUAGGAGACAGAAUCACCAUCACUUGCAGAGCGAGUCAGGGCAUUAGCAAUUGGUUAUCCUGGUAUCAGCAGAAACCAGGGAAUCCCCCUAAGCACCUGAUCUAUUAUGCUUCCAGUUUGCAGUCUGGGGUCCCAUCAAGGUUCAGUGGCAGUCGAUCUGGGACAGAUUACACUCUCACUGUCAGUAGCCUUCAGCCUGAAGAUCCUGCAAUUUAUUUCUGUCUACAGUAUGACAGUUAUCCUUCCCACAGUGUUACAAGUCAUAACAAAAACCACCCAGGGAAACAGAUGU